CUACUGAGCAUUACGAAAGGAUGCUGAGUCCCCGCGCUGGCUCCCUGCACUGGAUGGGGUGUUUUAAGGCCAUCAGGCAAGGAUCAACUGCCAAGCAUCUGACAUGGAGAAGCCAAUCUGCCGCCUAUUGUAGUCUCCCCUCCCCCAGCCUGAAACCUGCUUGCUCAGGGGUGGAGCUUUCUGCUCAUUCGUUCUGCCACGCCCACUGCUGGAACCUGCGGAGCCACACACGUGCACCUUUCUACUGGACCAGAGAUUAUUCGGCGGGAAUCGGGUCCCCUCCCCCUUCCUUCAUAACUAGUGUCGCAACAAUAAAAUUUGAGCUUUGAUCAGAAUAACUGUCUUGGCUACAUUUCUUUCUCUCGCCACCUAGCCCCUCUUCUCUUCCAGGUUUCCAAAAUGCCUUUCCAGGCUAGAACCCAGGUUGUGGUCUGCUGGCCGGACACAACAGCCUAUCAUAAUUCCAUGGCUUUCUCGUCUGAAA
This 484-nucleotide long non-coding RNA is filed under the name Mus spicilegus (steppe mouse). RNAcentral's name for it is "lncRNA (ENSMSIG00000016590.1)". Lineage: Eukaryota; Metazoa; Chordata; Mammalia; Rodentia; Muridae. The record is from RNAcentral.